RNAcentral lists this ribosomal RNA (253 nucleotides) under uncultured bacterium. Its description in RNAcentral is "partial 16S ribosomal RNA". It matches the Rfam family "Bacterial small subunit ribosomal RNA", at positions 524 to 776 of the family's 1533-position model. The record is from RNAcentral.
UACGUAGGGGGCAAGCGUUGUCCGGAUUUAUUGGGCGUAAAGAGCGUGUAGGCGGCCAUACAGGUCCGUUGUGAAAACUGGAGGCUUAACCUCCAGACGUCGAUGGAAACCGUAUGGCUAGAGUCCGGAAGAGGAGAGUGGAAUUCCUGGUGUAGCGGUGAAAUGCGCAGAUAUCAGGAAGAACACCAACGGCGAAGGCAGCUCGCUGGGACGGUACUGACGCUGAGACGCGAAAGCGUGGGGAGCGAACAGG